Molecule: long non-coding RNA, 1403 nt
Filed under: Homo sapiens (human)
Lineage: Eukaryota; Metazoa; Chordata; Mammalia; Primates; Hominidae
Description: non-protein coding lnc-RNF139-3:1
Source: RNAcentral
AAAAUUAGUGAGACAUGGUGGCAAACACCUGUAAUCCCAGCUACUCAGGAGGCUGAGGCAGGAGAAUCGCUUGAACCCGGGAGGCGGAGGUUGCAGUAAGCGGAGAUCACACCACUGCAUUGUAGCCUGGGUGACAGAGUGAGACUCUGUCCCCCACCAAACAAACAAACAAACAAACAAAAGACUUACUUGCAGCUUUGACCUCCUGAACUGCAAUCCUCCUGCCCCAGCCUCCUGAGUAGCAACCUCCCACACACCCACCCCCCCAAGUUCAAGUGAUUCUCCUGCCUCACCCUCCCGAGUAGCUGGGAUUACAGGUGUGCACCACCAUGCCUAGCCAAUUUUUGUUUUUAGUGGAGACAGGGUUUCACCAUGUUGGCCAGGCUGGUCUUGAACUCCUGACCUCAAGAGAUCCACCCACCUCAGCCUCCCAAAGUGCUGGGAAUACAGGUGUGAGCCACUGUGCCCACCCAUAAUUUUUAAUUUUUUUUAUAGAUAGAGGGUCUCACUAUGUUGCCCAGGCUGGUCUCGAACUCUAGGGCUCAAGUGAUCCUCUAACCUCAGCCUCCCAAAGUGCUGGGAUCACAGGCAUGAGCCAUGGUGCCUGUCCUAGAGCUGAAUUUUGAAUAGAAUCAACUAUGUAAAGGCAGAGGAAGUGAGGGCCCCUUAACCUCUUCUCCAAGAUAAGCUAUUUGUCUCAUUGAAACUUUCUUUUGAAUCUUACAGUUACCAUUGUGUGUUUCCUAUAGGCCCUUCUCCAGAUUCUCCAAGUUGUUCCCAAGAACCUUUUCACUGGGGCCCAGAAUUGACUCACAGUAUCCAUCCCAAUUCCCCUUUCUCUUAAAAAGGAGAAGCUGGAAAACUCAAGUACUAAAUUUCCCAGCCUCUCUUGCACAGAUAGUGACCAUGUGAACCAGUUCUGGCAAGGAGCUGCAGGCAGAGGUCCCCGGGGAGGGCUUUGGGUCUCUGACCCUGGAGAUGUAGCAGCCAUCUCUCCAAGCAUGCUAAGACUGGCAGAGCAGCAUUGUAGGACUGAUUUCUUAAGGGGAUCUUUGAUCAGCUACACAGCCCUGAAAUGUCUAUCUCUGCACUUGUCAUGUGAAAAAAUAAAAAAAUAAAAUAACCUGCAAUCCCACCCCCAAGUCUAUUUAAGUCACUGUGCGAAUUUUUUUUUAACUUACAGGCAAGAAAUAUUUCUACCUGAUAUUCUGAGUACUAGAUUAACCAAAUAAAUUAGACAUAUAUAAUAGAAGUGAGUAAAUAAAAACUGAGUGGGAAUGCUCACAGAGCUCAUACCACCCAAAACAGGGCAUCUUGAAAUCAGUUCUUUUUUUCAGGUGUUUCAUCGGUUAAUGCUUCCAUCCAGUGAAAUAAAAACUUCAUUCAGCCUUGAAAUUAAUUUA